GGGAGGGGGGGGCUAGCGUUGCUCGGAAUUACUGGGCGUAAAGGGCGCGUAGGGCGGAUUUCUAGUCAGGGCGUGAAAGCCCCGGGGCUCAACCCGGGAAUAGCGCUUGAUACUGGAAGUCUAGAGUUCUGGAGAGGGUGGUGGAAUUCCCAGUGUAGAGGUGAAAUUCGUAGAUAUUGGGAAGAACACCGGUGGCGAAGGCGGCCACCUGGCCAGACACUGACGCUAAGGCGCGAAAGCGUGGGGAGCAAACAGGAUUAGAUACCCUGGUAGUCCACGCCGUAAACGAUGUGUGCUAGACGUCGGGCAGCUUGCUGUUCGGUGUCGCAGCUAACGCGUUAAGCACACCGCCUGGGGAGUACGGUCGCAAGAUUA
This 375-nucleotide ribosomal RNA is filed under the name uncultured organism. RNAcentral describes it as "partial 16S ribosomal RNA". It matches the Rfam family "Bacterial small subunit ribosomal RNA", at positions 523 to 896 of the family's 1533-position model. The record is from RNAcentral.